ACACUCCUGCGGGAGGCAGCAGUGGGGAAUAUUGCACAAUGGGCGCAAGCCUGAUGCAGCCAUGCCGCGUGUAUGAAGAAGGCCUUCGGGUUGUAAAGUACUUUCAGCGGGGAGGAAGGCGAUAAGGUUAAUAACCUUGUCGAUUGACGUUACCCGCAGAAGAAGCACCGGCUAACUCCGUGCCAGCAGCCGCGGUAAUACGGAGGGUGCAAGCGUUAAUCGGAAUUACUGGGCGUAAAGCGCACGCAGGCGGUCUGUCAAGUCGGAUGUGAAAUCCCCGGGCUCAACCUGGGAACUGCAUUCGAAACUGGCAGGCUAGAGUCUUGUAGAGGGGGGUAGAAUUCCAGGUGUAGCGGUGAAAUGCGUAGAGAUCUGGAGGAAUACCGGUGGCGAAGGCGGCCCCCUGGACAAAGACUGACGCUCAGGUGCGAAAGCGUGGGGAGCAAACAGGAUUAGAAACCCGAGUAGUCC
RNAcentral lists this ribosomal RNA (471 nucleotides) under uncultured organism. RNAcentral's name for it is "partial 16S ribosomal RNA". It matches the Rfam family "Bacterial small subunit ribosomal RNA", at positions 333 to 796 of the family's 1533-position model. The record is from RNAcentral.